GACGAACGCUGGCGGCGUGCCUAAUACAUGCAAGUCGAGCGGAGUUUUUAAAAGCUUGCUUUUAAAAACUCAGCGGCGGACGGGUGAGUAACACGUGGGCAACCUGCCCUGUAGACUGGGAUAACUUCGGGAAACCGAAGCUAAUACCGGAUAAUCAUAGAAGUUGCAUAGCUUCUAUGUAAAAGUUGGGUUUACCUAACACUACAGGAUGGGCCCGCGUCGCAUUAGCUAGUUGGUAAGGUAACGGCUUACCAAGGCGACGAUGCGUAGCCGACCUGAGAGGGUGAUCGGCCACACUGGGACUGAGACACGGCCCAGACUCCUACGGGAGGCAGCAGUAGGGAAUCUUCCGCAAUGGACGAAAGUCUGACGGAGCAACGCCGCGUGAGCGAUGAAGGCCCUUCGGGUCGUAAAGCUCUGUUGUUAGGGA
RNAcentral lists this ribosomal RNA (430 nucleotides) under Bacilli bacterium oral taxon C43. RNAcentral's name for it is "bacterial SSU rRNA". It matches the Rfam family "Bacterial small subunit ribosomal RNA", at positions 28 to 445 of the family's 1533-position model. The record is from RNAcentral. Lineage: Bacteria; Bacillati; Bacillota; Bacilli.